RNAcentral lists this ribosomal RNA (465 nucleotides) under Vreelandella stevensii. Its description in RNAcentral is "partial 16S ribosomal RNA". It matches the Rfam family "Bacterial small subunit ribosomal RNA", at positions 338 to 795 of the family's 1533-position model. The record is from RNAcentral. Lineage: Bacteria; Pseudomonadati; Pseudomonadota; Gammaproteobacteria; Oceanospirillales; Halomonadaceae.
CCUACGGGUGGCUGCAGUGGGGAAUAUUGGACAAUGGGGGGAACCCUGAUCCAGCCAUGCCGCGUGUGUGAAGAAGGCCCUCGGGUUGUAAAGCACUUUCAGUGAGGAAGAACGCCUGGUGGUUAAUACCCAUCAGGAAAGACAUCACUCACAGAAGAAGCACCGGCUAACUCCGUGCCAGCAGCCGCGGUAAUACGGAGGGUGCGAGCGUUAAUCGGAAUUACUGGGCGUAAAGCGCGCGUAGGUGGCUUGAUAAGCCGGUUGUGAAAGCCCCGGGCUCAACCUGGGAACGGCAUCCGGAACUGUCAAGCUAGAGUGCAGGAGAGGAAGGUAGAAUUCCCGGUGUAGCGGUGAAAUGCGUAGAGAUCGGGAGGAAUACCAGUGGCGAAGGCGGCCUUCUGGACUGACACUGACACUGAGGUGCGAAAGCGUGGGUAGCAAACAGGUUUAGAUACCCUUGUAGUC